GCGUGCUUACACAUGCAAGUCGAACGAUGAUGGUGGUGCUUGCAUCACCUGAUUAGUGGCGAACGGGUGAGUAACACGUGAGUAACCUGCCCCUCACUUCGGGAUAACCUCGGGAAAUCGUGGCUAAUACCGGAUAUGAACUUCUACCGCAUGGUGGUCGUUGGAAAGAUUUAUCGGUGAGGGAUGGACUCGCGGCCUAUCAGUUUGUUGGUGAGGUAAUGGCUCACCAAGACGAUGACGGGUAGCCGGCCUGAGAGGGCGACCGGCCACACUGGGACUGAGACACGGCCCAGACUCCUACGGGAGGCAGCAGUGGGGAAUAUUGCACAAUGGGCGAAAGCCUGAUGCAGCGACGCCGCGUGGGGGAUGACGGCCUUCGGGUUGUAAACCUCUUUCAGUAGGGAAGAAGCGAAAGUGACGGUACCUGCAGAAGAAGCGCCGGCUAACUACGUGCCAGCAGCCGCGGUAAUACGUAGGGCGCAAGCGUUGUCCGGAAUUAUUGGGCGUAAAGAGCUCGUAGGUGGCUUGUCGCGUCUGCCGUGAAAACCCGAGGCUCAACCUCGGGCGUGCGGUGGGUACGGGCAGGCUAGAGUGUGGUAGGGGAGACUGGAACUCCUGGUGUAGCGGUGAAAUGCGCAGAUAUCAGGAAGAACACCGAUGGCGAAGGCAGGUCUCUGGGCCAUUACUGACACUGAGGAGCG
This 701-nucleotide ribosomal RNA is filed under the name uncultured Brachybacterium sp. RNAcentral describes it as "bacterial SSU rRNA". It matches the Rfam family "Bacterial small subunit ribosomal RNA", at positions 42 to 755 of the family's 1533-position model. The record is from RNAcentral. Lineage: Bacteria; Bacillati; Actinomycetota; Actinomycetes; Micrococcales; Dermabacteraceae.